GACGAACGCUGGCGGCGUGCUUAACACAUGCAAGUCGAACGGAAAGGCCCUGCUUUUGUGGGGUGCUCGAGUGGCGAACGGGUGAGUAACACGUGAGUAACCUGCCCUUGACUGUGGGAUAACUUCAGGAAACUGGGGCUAAUACCGGAUAGGAGCUCCUGCUGCAUGGUGGGGGUUGGAAAGUUUCGGCGGUUGGGGAUGGACUCGCGGCUUAUCAGAUUGUUGGUUGGGUAGUGGCUUACCAAGGCUUUGACGCGUAGCCGGGCUGAGAGGGUGAGCGGCCACAUCGGGAUUGAGAUGCGGCCCAGACUCCUACGGGAGGGAGCGGUGGGGAAUAUUGCACUAUGGGCGGAAGCCUGAUGCAGCAACGCCGCGUGCGGGAUGACGGCCUUCGGGUUGUAUUCCGAUUUCGCCUGUGACGAAGCGUGAGUGACGGUAAUGGGUAAAGAAGCACCGGCUAACUACGUG
RNAcentral lists this ribosomal RNA (468 nucleotides) under uncultured bacterium. RNAcentral describes it as "partial 16S ribosomal RNA". It matches the Rfam family "Bacterial small subunit ribosomal RNA", at positions 28 to 507 of the family's 1533-position model. The record is from RNAcentral.